GUGAGAUCGAUUCCAAGGGCCUCCGGUUUUUUGUUUUCGAGAUCUUAAGAGAUUCAAAUUUGCUAUAUUUUUUUCAAGGAGAAGAUAGGGAUGGAGAGUGACUAACAGUUUUUUCAGUUUGCUGCUACAUCUUUUGGGAGGAUGGAUCUGAUGAAGCAAGCUCUGCAUACAUGUUCGAUAUCGCGUUGGCAAAGUAUUCCUUGGCUUGGGGUCUCUUGAUCUUAAAUGUAGGAGUGAGAAGACCAUUCUCCAAUGUGAAAGGCUCAUGGACCAAAGUCACAGCUUUUGCAAAUUCGAAACCU
This 302-nucleotide unclassified non-coding RNA is filed under the name Hevea brasiliensis (rubber tree). The record is from RNAcentral. Lineage: Eukaryota; Viridiplantae; Streptophyta; Magnoliopsida; Malpighiales; Euphorbiaceae.